AGCAGUAGCCACGGGAAUACGAAGGGGGCUAGCGUUGCUCGGAAUCACUGGGCGUAAAGGGUGCGUAGGCGGGUUUCUAAGUCAGGGGUGAAAUCCUGGAGUUCAACUCCAGAACUGCCCUUGAUACUGGAAGUCUUGAGUAUGGGAGAGGUGAGUGGAACUGCGAGUGUAGAGGUGAAAUUCGUAGAUAUUCGCAAGAACACCAGUGGCGAAGGCGGCUCACUGGCCCACAACUGACGCUGAGGCACGAAAGCGUGGGGAGCAAACAGGAUUAGAUACCCGCGUAGUCCCUGUCUCUUAUAA
Molecule: ribosomal RNA, 303 nt
Filed under: uncultured bacterium
Lineage: Bacteria
Description: partial 16S ribosomal RNA
Rfam family: Bacterial small subunit ribosomal RNA
Source: RNAcentral